Molecule: unclassified non-coding RNA, 325 nt
Filed under: Hevea brasiliensis (rubber tree)
Lineage: Eukaryota; Viridiplantae; Streptophyta; Magnoliopsida; Malpighiales; Euphorbiaceae
Source: RNAcentral
UCUGCCGCCGGUCGAGAUGAUUUGAGAUUUUUCAGCGCCCGGCGAGGACUAGCAUUGGCUCGGACCCUUAUCCCGGUGAACGCAUGCCCAUCGAACCUUCUCGUCUGGAAAUUCUGUCCGCGCUGACCCGCAAGGUGCUGUGGCUGUCGUCGUGGACCAUCCACCAUGCCAAUCACAUCCGGCCGGAUUCCGACGGGCUGAAAGUUGGCGGCCAUCAGGCCUCAUCGGCGUCGCUGGCGACGAUCAUGUCGGCGCUCUAUUUCGGUGUGCUCAAGCCGGAGGAUCGCGUCGCGGUGAAGCCGCACGCUAGCCCGGUGUUUCACGC